This is a long non-coding RNA of Echinops telfairi (small Madagascar hedgehog), 206 nucleotides long. RefSeq lists it as uncharacterized. Lineage: Eukaryota; Metazoa; Chordata; Mammalia; Afrosoricida; Tenrecidae. The transcript has 3 exons. The record is from RefSeq and is a predicted model, not a curated record.
CACCCCCAGUGCUCUCUGCUCCUCCUCGUGCGACAGACAGCCGCCUCUCCCGCUCCCGUGCAGUCCCAGCCGCAUCCCGAGACACGAUGGUGAAGGUCGGAGUGAACGGAUUUGGCCGCAUUGGGCGUCUGGUCACCAGGGCUGCUUUCGAAUCUGGCAAAGUGGACAUUGUUGCCAUCAAUGACCCUUUCAUUGAUCUGCACUAC